GACGAACGCUGGCGGCGUGCCUAAUACAUGCAAGUAGAACGCUGAAGGAGGAGCUUGCUCUUCUGGAUGAGUUGCGAACGGGUGAGUAACGCGUAGGUAACCUGCCUGGUAGCGGGGGAUAACUAUUGGAAACGAUAGCUAAUACCGCAUAAGAGUAGAUGUUGCAUGACAUUUGCUUAAAAGGUGCAAUUGCAUCACUACCAGAUGGACCUGCGUUGUAUUAGCUAGUUGGUGGGGUAACGGCUCACCAAGGCGACGAUACAUAGCCGACCUGAGAGGGUGAUCGGCCACACUGGGACUGAGACACGGCCCAGACUCCUACGGGAGGCAGCAGUAGGGAAUCUUCGGCAAUAGACGGAAGUCUGACCGAGCAACGCCGCGUGAGUGAAGAAGGGUUUCGGAUCGUAAAGCUCUGUUGUAAGAGAAGAACGAGUGUGAGAGUGGAAAGUUCACACUGUGACGGUAUCUUACCAGAAAGGGACGGCUAACUACGUG
RNAcentral lists this ribosomal RNA (495 nucleotides) under uncultured bacterium. RNAcentral's name for it is "partial 16S ribosomal RNA". It matches the Rfam family "Bacterial small subunit ribosomal RNA", at positions 28 to 507 of the family's 1533-position model. The record is from RNAcentral.